CUGAGCGAGAGCACAUGUGGACAGUACACGAGUGAGAAUGCCGGAAUGAGUAGCGAGAAUUAUGUGGGAAUCAUAAUGGCCGAAAAUCUAAGGUUUCUUGGGGAAGGUUCGUCCGCCCAAGGUAAGCCGGGAGCUAAGGCGAGGCCGAAAGGCGUAGUCGAUGCACAUACGGUUGAAAUUCCGUAGCCGCCGAAAUUGUUAAGCACAGGGACACAUAGAGAUAUCCGAACCCGGGCGUUGGUUGACCCGGGCGCAAGGGACCGAACAUCAGUAGGGAAGUCGGAGAUGCUCUGUGGCGAGAAAAGCUGUGUGUAUUGAUUAGGCGCCCGUACCGCAAACCGACACAGGUAGAUGAGGAGAGAAUCCUAAGGCCAACGGGAGAAGGGUUGUUAAGGAACUCGGCAAAUUGACCCCGUAACUUCGGGAUAAGGGGAGCCUCCUACGGGAGGCCGCAGUGAAUAGGCCCAAGCAACUGUUUACCAAAAACACAGGUCUCUGCUAAAUCGAAAGAUGACGUAUAGGGGCUGACGCCUGCCCGGUGCCGGAAGGUUAAGAGGAGAGCUUAGCGCAAGCGAAGGUUCGAAUUGAAGCCCCGGUAAACGGCGGCCGUAACAAUAACGGUCCUGAGGUAGCGAAAUUCCUUGUCAGGUAAGUUCUGACCCGCACGAAUGGCGUAAUGAUUUGGGCACUGUCUCAACAGCCCGCCCGGCGAAAUUGUAGUACUGGUGAAGAUGCCAGUUACCCGCAACUAGACGGAAAGACCCCAUGGAGCUUUACUGUAGCCUAAUACUGAAGAUCGGUAAUGCAUGUACAGGAUAGGUGGGAGCCAGCGAAACCCGGGCGUCAGCUCGGAUGGAGGCAACCUUGGAAUACCACCCUUGUAUUGCUGGUUUUCUAACCUGCGGCCAUGAAUCUGGUCGGGGGACACUGUUAGGUGGGCAGUUUGACUGGGGCGGUCGCCUCCAAAAGCGUAACGGAGGCGCUCAAAGGUUGGCUCAGCACGGACGGAAAUCGUGCAUAGAGUGCAAACGCAUAAGCCAACUUGACUGCGAGACCGACGGGUCGAGCAGGUACGAAAGUAGGAGUUAGUGAUCCGGUGGUAUGUGAGUGGAAAUGCCAUCGCUCAACGGAUAAAAGCUACCCUGGGGAUAACAGGCUGAUCUCCCCCAAGCGUCCACAGCGACGGGGAGGUUUGGCACCUCGAUGUCGGCUCGUCACAUCCUGGGGCUGUAUUCGGUCCCAAGGGUUCGGCUGUUCGCCGAUUAAAGUGGCACGCGAGCUGGGUUCAGAACGUCGUGAGACAGUUCGGUCCCUAUCUGUUGCGGGCGCAGGAGAUUUGAAGGGAGCUGUCCUUAGUACGAGAGGACCGGGAUGGACAGACCUCUGGUGCACCAGUUGUCGUGCCAACGGCACAGCUGGGUAGCUACGUCUGGACGAGAUAAACGCUGAAAGCAUCUAAGUGUGAAACUCCCCCUAAGAUAAGAUCUCCCAUCCAUUAGGAGUAAGGGACGACAGAGACUAUGUCGUUGAUAGGUCGGAAGUGUAAGUGCAGUAAUGCAUUGAGCUGACCGAUACUAAUAACCCGAGGGCUUGACC
RNAcentral lists this ribosomal RNA (1596 nucleotides) under metagenome. RNAcentral's name for it is "bacterial LSU rRNA". It matches the Rfam family "Bacterial large subunit ribosomal RNA", at positions 1257 to 2925 of the family's 2925-position model. The record is from RNAcentral.